This 72-nucleotide transfer RNA is filed under the name Neochloris aquatica. RNAcentral describes it as "tRNA-Lys". It matches the Rfam family "tRNA". Rfam says of the family: Transfer RNA (tRNA) molecules are approximately 80 nucleotides in length. Their secondary structure includes four short double-helical elements and three loops (D, anti-codon, and T loops). Lineage: Eukaryota; Viridiplantae; Chlorophyta; Chlorophyceae; Sphaeropleales; Neochloridaceae. The record is from RNAcentral.
GGACUCCUAACUUAAUUGGUAAAGUGGCGGGCUUUUAACCCGAAGAGUGUCAGUUCGAGUCUGGCGGGGUUC